Long non-coding RNA from Entelurus aequoreus (snake pipefish), 1086 nucleotides. RefSeq lists it as uncharacterized. Lineage: Eukaryota; Metazoa; Chordata; Actinopteri; Syngnathiformes; Syngnathidae. The record is from RefSeq and is a predicted model, not a curated record. The transcript has 3 exons.
CGUGGCUCAGAUGGUAGAUCAGCCAGCCAGAAAACCUGGGGUUCCUGGUACGAAUCCAGCUUCCGCCAUCUUAGUCAAUGCCUUGGUGUCCUUGGACAAGACACCUUGCGCCCAGUGCCACUCACACUGGCUUAAAUGUAGCUCAAAAUGCAGAUAAUUGGUUUCACAUCGUAAAGCGCUUUGAGUCUCUAGAGAAAAAGAGAUUUAUAAAUAUAGUUUACUUCACAUGUAAGUUGAGACACUACUGUACUGGCACUGAAAAUUAAAAAUAUAAUCCAGACACAAAUAUUUGAUAACGAUAUUUUUCAACAUCAGUCUUCACAUUUACCUUUAAAGUUUGCAUCAGGCUAGAGAUGACAUGUUUCAAAAGAAAAUAUAUAACAGGUAUAUUGCCGGCUAGUUAUUGUUACCAUUAGUGGUUUAACAGAACAUAUGUGCUUUUAAAUUCUAUAUUUUUUGCAGUUACUAAUUAGAUUGACACGCUUGUCAGUCUCAGUUGUCUUGUACACACGUCGAUGUGCUUGCAAGCAGUCCCAAUGAAGCAACUAACAAUUUGCAGUCAAGUUGUUGUUGAAUGAAUGUUAUUAGCUACACUUUGCCAAAUCGCUAUCAUUAACUGACAACAAACAUAACUAAUGUUCAAUUUUAGGACUAGAUGGAACAAUCCCAUGAUACAAAAUAACCUGAGUAGAGUGGCAACAGUAGGCUACCUCCUUCGGAUCUACUUCAAAGCGGCUAUGGUGUUGGACCUAGUUGGGUGGGAUUGCAAAAUGGGGGACAGAGGAGAUGGGGGAAUGGUUAACAGCUUCAUUGGGGUCAUCAGGUGGGCACCCUCCUUCACCGGUGUUUCAAUGAUAGGCCCACGACACCUCCACAGGGCUCAUCGGCACCACCUGGCGUCCCAACGCUAAAAGUCAAGAUGAUCCUGUUGUAGCAGAGCUGUGUGUCCCCACCAUUGAGGCACACAAACACUCAGCAUCUGAGAAGAAAGAUAAUCUCGGACGCCUUGCUGGACAGGAGGGAAUGAACUAGACUGGACUGGCUUUUCUAUUAGCACACCUUUUUUAUGUUUGUAUUAUAUUAUAC